AGCAGCAACCCCUCUUUGAUUGAGCAAGCACCUGAAGCGUGCCAAUCUUGCAGCGACUGAUCCCGGGUCCUUUGCAAGCUUCUCAAUGGGAGUCCACAGCCGCUCUUCAAAUUAAUAAGUGAUUUGGGGUGCAAGGCAAGCUAGCUGCUAUUUUCCAACAAGGAUGCUAGUCAAUACAGUAUUUAUCAAGUGCCAGCCAAUAGGAUGCAAGGAGAUACCAGUUAUGCACCACGGUUUUACGAUCCAACUUGUCUCCAAAGUUGUUAAAUGUCUCUUCCCUACAAGGAUGAGAAACUGUUUGUUAAAGCUAGCUGGAAAAUUCAAAUAUGCAAAAAAACUAGUAACUCCAGUCACCCUACCAGUUAAUAAUGUCAUAACCAUGUGAUAUGGCUAUCUUUUGAGCUCUCAGUACAAAAUAUCUGUAGGCAUCAGAUUCAUUCAUGCCAUGCU
Panicum virgatum (switchgrass) is the source of this 450-nucleotide long non-coding RNA. RefSeq lists it as uncharacterized. The record is from RefSeq and is a predicted model, not a curated record. NCBI's taxonomy places the organism in Eukaryota, Viridiplantae, Streptophyta, Magnoliopsida, Poales, Poaceae. The transcript has 2 exons.